GUCAGAUUUUGCCACCAAAUAAUUUACUAAAACUUAUGAGAAAACUUUUGGUCUUCAGAGUUUUUAGAUUUCAGAAUUGUGAAUAAGGGAUUGUGAACUUGUUAUUGAGAUGUAUUAACUCAUUUAUUCUUACGACAAUAUGUGAUCAUGUACUUUUUCUUAUUUUGGUGAGGAAGAAACUGAACGACAGAAAGGUAUAAUGUGUCCAAGGUCACAUGGCUAGUAAGUGACAGGGCCAGCAUUUGAAUCUAUGCUGUCUGACUCUAGAACCUGUGCUUUGAAGAACCCUGAGUACUCCCACCC
This 303-nucleotide long non-coding RNA is filed under the name Homo sapiens (human). RNAcentral's name for it is "HSALNT0153191". Lineage: Eukaryota; Metazoa; Chordata; Mammalia; Primates; Hominidae. The record is from RNAcentral.